Molecule: ribosomal RNA, 1398 nt
Filed under: metagenome
Description: bacterial LSU rRNA
Rfam family: Bacterial large subunit ribosomal RNA
Source: RNAcentral
GGAGGGACGGAGAAGGCUAGGCCAGCUUGGCGUUGGUUGUCCAAGUUUAAGGUGGUAGGCUGGAAUCUUAGGUAAAUCCGGGGUUUCAAGGCCGAGAGCUGAUGACGAGUCGUCUUUUAGAUGACGAAGUGGUUGAUGCCAUGCUUCCAAGAAAAGCUUCUAAGCUUCAGGUAACCAGGAACCGUACCCCAAACCGACACAGGUGGUCGGGUAGAGAAUACCAAGGCGCUUGAGAGAACUCGGGUGAAGGAACUAGGCAAAAUGGCACCGUAACUUCGGGAGAAGGUGCGCCGGCUAGGGUGAAGGAUUUACUCCGUAAGCUCUGGCUGGUCGAAGAUACCAGGCCGCUGCGACUGUUUAUUAAAAACACAGCACUCUGCAAACACGAAAGUGGACGUAUAGGGUGUGACGCCUCCCCGGUGCCGGAAGGUUAAUUGAUGGGGUUAGCGCAAGCGAAGCUCUUGAUCGAAGCCCCGGUAAACGGCGGCCGUAACUAUAACGGUCCUAAGGUAGCGAAAUUCCUUGUCGGGUAAGUUCCGACCUGCACGAAUGGCGUAACGAUGGCGGCGCUGUCUCCACCCGAGACUCAGUGAAAUUGAAAUCGCUGUGAAGAUGCAGUGUAUCCGCGGCUAGACGGAAAGACCCCGUGAACCUUUACUGUAGCUUUGCACUGGACUUUGAGCCUGCUUGUGUAGGAUAGGUGGGAGGCUUUGAAGCGUGGACGCCAGUUCGCGUGGAGCCAUCCUUGAAAUACCACCCUGGCAUGCUUGAGGUUCUAACUCUGGUCCGUAAUCCGGAUCGAGGACAGUGUAUGGUGGGCAGUUUGACUGGGGCGGUCUCCUCCUAAAGAGUAACGGAGGAGUACGAAGGUGCGCUCAGACCGGUCGGAAAUCGGUCGCAGAGUAUAAAGGCAAAAGCGCGCUUGACUGCGAGACAGACACGUCGAGCAGGUACGAAAGUAGGUCUUAGUGAUCCGGUGGUUCUGUAUGGAAGGGCCAUCGCUCAACGGAUAAAAGGUACUCCGGGGAUAACAGGCUGAUACCGCCCAAGAGUUCAUAUCGACGGCGGUGUUUGGCACCUCGAUGUCGGCUCAUCACAUCCUGGGGCUGAAGCCGGUCCCAAGGGUAUGGCUGUUCGCCAUUUAAAGUGGUACGCGAGCUGGGUUUAGAACGUCGUGAGACAGUUCGGUCCCUAUCUGCCGUGGACGUUUGAGAUUUGAGAGGGGCUGCUCCUAGUACGAGAGGACCGGAGUGGACGAACCUCUGGUGUUCCGGUUGUCACGCCAGUGGCAUUGCCGGGUAGCUAUGUUCGGAAAAGAUAACCGCUGAAAGCAUCUAAGCGGGAAACUUGCCUCAAGAUGAGAUCUCACUGGGAACUUGAUUCCCCUGAAGGGCCGUC